Molecule: long non-coding RNA, 922 nt
Organism: Coregonus clupeaformis (lake whitefish)
Lineage: Eukaryota; Metazoa; Chordata; Actinopteri; Salmoniformes; Salmonidae
Exons: 2
Source: RefSeq, a predicted model, not a curated record
UGAUGUAGCAUCAACAUUCUCUCUGAACAGUCUAGGCUGCAGGGAAUUUGAGUCUGAAAGUGGAUGCAAUAACAGCUACAGACAAGAUUGAAAAGAAGAUAAAUCGAUUCCAUUGUACAAUGUCUUCAGAACAGGAUUCCAGUUUUGAUAGGAUUCAUGUCCACAUUCAGGGGAAGAUAUCCCAGGUUCUCCAGACAUCCCAGACUGUGGACAGACCUGCUGGUGCACCUACCUAAAUUGCAGUCAGGGCCCGGACAGAUGUGUGAGCAGGUUUUUUGCCUGGAGGAGAGGAUUUUGCGGCUUGUCCGGUAUAUCAGAAAUGACAUUUUGGCAUUGGCUGAUCUGCAGGAUCCAGGCACCGAUCACAAGGAAUACAGACAUGCAUCAUAAAGACAGUAUGUUGUUUGGUAUUAUUGAGCCCUGGGACAAGAACAGAGUACUGAUCCCUAGGGUGUAGAGCUCUCAUGUCCUCACUCCAGAAGACAGCACAGUAAAUCAACUUCUGGCGCCAUCACAUUUACAGUCCAGCAGUACCAUCAGAGACAGCUCCAUGUUCACAGACUGCUAAAUACUUCAAUCCAAAGACUCUGCACGUUACAACACACAACUGCUGCCAUUUCACCACUGCACUAUUCUAUUUAUUUAUUACCUAGUAUGUUUACAUAACAGUUAAACACUUUCCAUGACUACACUGUACUUCAUUCUUCAUUUGGAUCCCAAUUAGGAAAUAUAUUCCAUUUGGUAAUAUCUUUGUAAAAAAAAACUUGUGUGAUUUUUUCCCCAUCGGUCUGGGUGAUAUCAGUUCAGUACUUUAUCAGAAUGUUUUCCUUACACUGUGCUUCUGUUACAUGUAUUUUGUGAAUGUUACAGAGGAUACCUUGUAUUCUUGUUUAUCUCCAUAAUAAACCUUUAUUUGACCUGA